UUUAGUGUAGAACUAGAUAUUAAAUAUUGACCAAUGAAUUUACUAUAUCCUAAUUCCAUACUUCAUUAUGUGAAUUAAUUAGUUCAACCAAAAGGUGUCUUUGUCAUUUUGUAUAUAAGUCAAAUAGGGUAAAAUUGUUUUUGGCAUAAAUCAAGAGACUAUGAAUUAGGGUAAAACAAAAACUCACAUAUUCCUAUUCAUCGCUCAACGUGUCAACUUACCCAACUCUUUUCUUCCCAACGCGGCCCGGUAGUACGAUAGUCUUGAUUAAUGGAUUCCUUCUUCCCGUCGUCAUCUUGAUUCUCGUUGUCAUUCUCAACCCAGCGCUUUGUCGAAUUUUAACGUGGUGCAAACAAGACGUGGAAAAUUGAACGGCAAUUGUUGUAUUCACCAAUUUUUACAGUCUACGAAAACUCUACAAACUAACCUCUAACAUUUUGGUUGUAGAUGAGAGGAUAUUGCAUUCCAGAACUUCAUCCGGUGUGGUACCACUGCCUUCAAUUGGAAAAAGUAAGCGAGGACGCCCACCCCAAACCUGAUGGAACCAAACCGUUCAGGUAUGAGAUGAAGUAUUUUCAACAUUAGCUGAAGUAGUUCAGUAAUCUAGUUAACGUUUUCUUAAAAUUAACUUCCCGUUCUACAAUUGGGAAAACUAAGCUGGGACGCCUGCUUAAAACCAGAACGAGGUCCACCCCAAAGUUGAUCGAACCAGGCAUUUCGGACAAAUCAGCUCCCACUAAGGAGAUACCUGCAUUGAAUCAACUACCUACGACGCUUUCAACAUUCAAACUGAACGAACCACUUGG
Salvia splendens (bonfire salvia) is the source of this 806-nucleotide long non-coding RNA. RefSeq lists it as uncharacterized. Lineage: Eukaryota; Viridiplantae; Streptophyta; Magnoliopsida; Lamiales; Lamiaceae. The record is from RefSeq and is a predicted model, not a curated record. The transcript has 4 exons.